Drosophila sulfurigaster albostrigata is the source of this 224-nucleotide long non-coding RNA. RefSeq lists it as uncharacterized. The transcript has 3 exons. The record is from RefSeq and is a predicted model, not a curated record. Lineage: Eukaryota; Metazoa; Arthropoda; Insecta; Diptera; Drosophilidae.
UGUGAAUCUGUAAGCACGACAUUUUCAUUAAAAAUUUGAUUUAUUUUCGAUUUGGAUAUGGAGAAUAUUGUAAUUCGUUCACCUGGCCGCUUCAGGAUCUGUUCAAUUAUUUUCUGUAGAGGCGAGAAAAAUUCUUAUAUUCCAAAGAAACCAUUAUAGCUAGAGGUAAGUAGGUUAACUUAUUAAAUAUAAUACUUCAAAACAAGUAAAAUCAGCUGCCAAAU